AGAGACAGCAGUAGCCACGGUAAUACGUAGGUGGCAAGCGUUGUCCGGAAUUAUUGGGCGUAAAGCGCGCGCAGGUGGUUAUGUAAGUCUGAUGUGAAAAUGCAGGGCUCAACUCUGUAUUGCGUUGGAAACUGCAUGACUAGAGUACUGGAGAGGUAAGCGGAACUACAAGUGUAGAGGUGAAAUUCGUAGAUAUUUGUAGGAAUGCCGAUGGGGAAGCCAGCUUACUGGACAGAUACUGACGCUAAAGCGCGAAAGCGUGGGUAGCAAACAGGAUUAGAGACCCCCGUAGUCCCUGUCUCUUAUACA
This 309-nucleotide ribosomal RNA is filed under the name uncultured bacterium. RNAcentral's name for it is "partial 16S ribosomal RNA". It matches the Rfam family "Bacterial small subunit ribosomal RNA", at positions 504 to 808 of the family's 1533-position model. The record is from RNAcentral.